AUUGAACGCUGGCGGCAUGCUUUACACAUGCAAGUCGGACGGCAGCACAGAGAAGCUUGCUUCUUGGGUGGCGAGUGGCGAACGGGUGAGUAACAUAUCGGCACGUACCGAGCAGUGGGGGAUAACUAAUCGAAAGAUUAGCUAAUACCGCAUAUCUUCUGAGGAAGAAAGCAUGGGACCAUUUGGCCUUGCGCUGUUUGAGCGGCCGAUAUCUGAUUAGCUAGUUGGUGGGGUAAAGGCCUACCAAGGCGACGAUCAGUAGCGGGUCUGAGAGGAUGAUCCGCCACACUGGGACUGAGACACGGCCCAGACUCCUACGGGAGGCAGCAGUGGGGAAUUUUGGACAAAGGGCGCAAGCCUGAUCCAGCCAUGCCGCGUGUCUGAAGAAGGCCUUCGGGUUGUAAAGGACUUUUGUCAGGGAAGAAAAGGGCGGGGUUAAUACCCCUGUCUGAUGACGGUACCUGAAGAAUAAGCACCGGCUAACUACGUG
RNAcentral lists this ribosomal RNA (490 nucleotides) under uncultured bacterium. RNAcentral's name for it is "partial 16S ribosomal RNA". It matches the Rfam family "Bacterial small subunit ribosomal RNA", at positions 30 to 507 of the family's 1533-position model. The record is from RNAcentral.